AACGAACGCUGGCGGCGCGCUUAACACAUGCAAGUCGAACGAGAAGGCGUAGCAAUACGCUUGUACAGUGGCGAACGGGUGAGUAAUACGUGGGCGACCUACCCUCGAGUGGGGAAUAACCCGCCGAAAGGCGGGCUAAUGCCGCGUACGCUUCCAUCUUUAUGGAGGUGGAAGGAAAGCCGUGCCGUGGGCACGGCGCUCAAGGAUGGGCUCACGUCCUAUCAGCUUGUUGGAGGGUAACGGCCUACCAAGGCUCCGACGGGUAGCUGGUCUGAGAGGGUGACCGGCCACACUGGGACUGAGACACGGCCCAGACUCCUACGGGAGGCGGCAGUGGGGAAUCUUGCGCAAUGGGCGAAAGCCUGACGCAGCGACGCCGCGUGGGGACGAAGGCCUCGGUGUAACCC
This 407-nucleotide ribosomal RNA is filed under the name uncultured bacterium. Its description in RNAcentral is "bacterial SSU rRNA". It matches the Rfam family "Bacterial small subunit ribosomal RNA", at positions 28 to 431 of the family's 1533-position model. The record is from RNAcentral.